Molecule: ribosomal RNA, 497 nt
Filed under: uncultured bacterium
Lineage: Bacteria
Description: partial 16S ribosomal RNA
Rfam family: Bacterial small subunit ribosomal RNA
Source: RNAcentral
GAUGAACGCUGGCGGCGUGCCUAAUACAUGCAAGUCGAGCGAACAGACGAGGAGCUUGCUCCUUUGACGUUAGCGGCGGACGGGUGAGUAACACGUGGGUAACCUACCUAUAAGACUGGGAUAACUUCGGGAAACCGGAGCUAAUACCGGAUAAUAUUUCGAACCGCAUGGUUCGAUAGUGAAAGAUGGCUUUGCUAUCACUUAUAGAUGGACCUGCGCCGUAUUAGCUAGUUGGUAAGGUAACGGCUUACCAAGGCAACGAUACGUAGCCGACCUGAGAGGGUGAUCGGCCACACUGGAACUGAGACACGGUCCAGUCUCCUACGGGAGGCAGCAGUAGGGAAUCUUCCGCAAAGGGCGAAAGCCUGACGGAGCAACGCCGCGUGAGUGAUGAAGGGCUUCGGAUCGUAAAACUCUGUUAUUAGGGAAGAACAAACGUGUAAGUAACUGUGCACGUCUUGACGGUACCUAAUCAGAAAGCCACGGCUAACUACGUG